This 329-nucleotide unclassified non-coding RNA is filed under the name Fusarium oxysporum. RNAcentral's name for it is "sequence contains ITS1, 5.8S rRNA gene, ITS2 and 28S rRNA gene". The record is from RNAcentral. Lineage: Eukaryota; Fungi; Ascomycota; Sordariomycetes; Hypocreales; Nectriaceae.
ACGCGAAUUAACGCGAGUCCCAACACCAAGCUGUGCUUGAGGGUUGAAAUGACGCUCGAACAGGCAUGCCCGCCAGAAUACUGGCGGGCGCAAUGUGCGUUCAAAGAUUCGAUGAUUCACUGAAUUCUGCAAUUCACAUUACUUAUCGCAUUUUGCUGCGUUCUUCAUCGAUGCCAGAACCAAGAGAUCCGUUGUUGAAAGUUUUGAUUUAUUUAUGGUUUUACUCAGAAGUUACAUAUAGAAACAGAGUUUAGGGGUCCUCUGGCGGGCCGUCCCGUUUUACCGGGAGCGGGCUGAUCCGCCGAGGCAACAAGUGGUAUGUUCACAGG